UGCAAGUCGCACGGUAUGGGGGUAACUUCAUGCAGUGGCGGACGGGUGAGUAACGCGUAGGAAUCUAUCCUUGGGUGGGGGAUAACCGUGGGAAACUACGGCUAAUACCGCAUGAUGCCUGAGGGCCAAAGUCGCCAGGGUAACUUGGUGGCGUCUGGGGAGGAGCCUGCGUCUGAUUAGGUAGUUGGUGGGGUAAAGGCCUACCAAGCCUUCGAUCAGUAGCUGGUCUGAGAGGAUGAUCAGCCACAUUGGGACUGAGACACGGCCCAAACUCCUACGGGAGGCAGCAGUGGGGAAUAUUGGACAAUGGGGGCAACCCUGAUCCAGCAAUGCCGCGUGGGUGAAGAAGGUUUUCGGAUUGUAAAGCCCUUUUGGCGGGGACGAUGAUGACGGUACCCGCAGAAUAAGCUCCGGCUAACUUCGUGCCAGCAGCCGCGGUAAUACGAAGGGGGCUAGCGUUGCUCGGAAUGACUGGGCGUAAAGGGCGCGUAGGCGGCUUACACAGUCAGGCGUGAAAUUCCUGGGCUCAACCUGGGGACUGCGUCUAAUACAUGUAGGCUUGAGUGUGAAAGAGGGUCGUGGAAUUUCCAGUGUAGAGGUGAAAUUCGUAGAUAUUGGAAAGAACACCGGUGGCGAAGCGGCGACCUGGUUCAUUACUGACGCUGAGGCGCGAAAGCGUGGGGAGCAAACAGGAUUAGAUACCCUGGUAGUCCACGCUGUAAACGAUGUGUGCUGGAUGUGGGGUGCUUAGCACUUCAGUGUCGUAGCUAACGCGGUAAG
This 780-nucleotide ribosomal RNA is filed under the name uncultured Acidiphilium sp. RNAcentral's name for it is "bacterial SSU rRNA". It matches the Rfam family "Bacterial small subunit ribosomal RNA", at positions 56 to 864 of the family's 1533-position model. Lineage: Bacteria; Pseudomonadati; Pseudomonadota; Alphaproteobacteria; Acetobacterales; Acidocellaceae. The record is from RNAcentral.